GGGCCGCUAGCUCAAUGGCAGAGCAAUUCCCUCUUAAGGAAAAGGUUGGAGGUUCGACUCCUCCGCGGCUCACCA
Molecule: transfer RNA, 75 nt
Filed under: Candidatus Woesebacteria bacterium RIFCSPHIGHO2_02_FULL_38_9
Lineage: Bacteria; Candidatus Woeseibacteriota
Also listed under: 1 other name
Description: tRNA-Lys
Rfam family: tRNA
About the family: Transfer RNA (tRNA) molecules are approximately 80 nucleotides in length. Their secondary structure includes four short double-helical elements and three loops (D, anti-codon, and T loops).
Source: RNAcentral